GGGCGUUUAGCUCAGCUGGUUCAGAGCAUCUGCCUUACAAGCAGAGGGUCGGCGGUUCGAAUCCGUCAACGCCGACCG
Molecule: transfer RNA, 78 nt
Filed under: Phocaeicola vulgatus
Lineage: Bacteria; Pseudomonadati; Bacteroidota; Bacteroidia; Bacteroidales; Bacteroidaceae
Description: Bacteroides vulgatus tRNA-Val
Rfam family: tRNA
About the family: Transfer RNA (tRNA) molecules are approximately 80 nucleotides in length.
Source: RNAcentral